GUUUCCCAGAUUCACUUUUCAAAAUUAGUCCUGGGCUGGCCUUCAACAAGACAAACAUAUUCUGUGCAGUCACAGGAGAGAACAACACAGCAUUCCUGGACCAAGACUUGGAGUCAUGAAGCCAGACAUGCUGGACAAGCUGAAGACAGAGUUUGGGGACACUACCUAGCUUCCAAAAGCCUACCCGGAUUUAGAGGUCAAAUGACCUAGGAAUCUCAGAGGACAUCAGCCGGAUGCAAUGGCUCCCCCCACCUCCCAACGCCGGCAUUUCCUGUGUGCUCUCCCUUUCACUGGUAUAAACAGACCACGAAGCGGGACAAGGUGUCUGGACCAGCUUCCCAGCUGCUUCAUUAUUCUGCUAGAUCAAUAUUAAUUUUUGCAGGCUUCCUUUUUCAGCACAUCAGGGCUAGAAGGGGCAACUUGUACACACCCUGGUGUUUGGCAAGGGGAUUUAUGAGCCUGCUCUAAAGAUACAGCCCCCGUUGCACUGAGUGAAAAUCUGGUUGGAGCCCAAAACAACAAGGAGAGAGCAGGAGGACACAAAGUCAAGUCACUUCUCACAGGCCAAGUCACAGAACACUGGAAAGCAGUACCUGGAUGUUAUGUGCCUGCCUAUGGUGUUUUCGCCGCCAAUUUCCUACUUGGCCACAUGUGCACAUUUAAUUAAUGUUCUGCUCAUCACCUCCUGCAAGUCAUUAAUAAGGAUGCACUGUAGAUACAAGCUCAUCUCAGAGCCUGCCAGAAGCACUCCGCUGGCCACGAUCUCCCACCCAGUGCACAGCCGCCCACCGGCUGCUCACGUGGUCUUGCAGCCAGGUUUCUGAGAGGCAGAGCUCAGAACCGGCUCGGUUGAAUUCAUCUUUCAAGUGAGAUUUCUGGAUGCAUCCAUUUCAUUGCCUUCACCCACUAAUGUGGUAGAAGGUUUUUUUUUUUAAUUCUAUUAAAAAAUGCAAUUAAAUUUGUCUCAUGGAAUUUGCUCUUUAAAAAUCUAGACAGCUGCUUGCUCGUGGUGGCAUUAUGCUCCUGAUUCCUGCAUGUUUUUUUUCCUUCAUCUCCAUUCCAUUACUUUGCUGAGGAUUAAAGACGGGUUUAGCAGAUGGCAAAUGCCAGGGUCUCUUCCCACCCCCACCUCCCAUUCAGAAGACUGGGAUCGUGUCGGCCAGAAUACACAGCCCGGCUUCCUCCACGGGGCUUUUGGAAGCGAGGAGCAAUUGUUUCGUUCAAAUCCACCAGCUAACGCAGAAAGUGAGACUGAGGGGCAGAGGAAGAGAGACUAAGGACUCUUCCCCAUGGCUGGCCCUCAAGGCUUGGUCAGGGGUCGUUCCUGAGCCUCGGUCUCCUCAUCUCCAGAGUCACUGAUUUCCUCCACCAUUGCUCAGCCAUAAAGCACUCAUUAGGCUGUGAAGCAAAUGAGGUAAUGUCUGUGGUGAGAUGGUUUGUGCGUUUCCAAAGAAAGACACCAUAUAAAAAGCAUUCUGAUUGCUAACAGUCAGGGACACUCAGCAUCGGGCCUGGCUGGCCCUAUAAACUAUUUAACUGCCUGCUCCUUGCAAAAACUAUUUUUAUCAGUUAAUUACACAUUUUUCUUAUUAAAUAACAAUGUGAAAGCA
Long non-coding RNA from Mesocricetus auratus (golden hamster), 1610 nucleotides. RefSeq lists it as uncharacterized. The record is from RefSeq and is a predicted model, not a curated record. Lineage: Eukaryota; Metazoa; Chordata; Mammalia; Rodentia; Cricetidae. The transcript is spliced from 2 exons.